RNAcentral lists this transfer RNA (72 nucleotides) under Sulfurovum sp. AR. It matches the Rfam family "tRNA". From Rfam's summary of the family: Transfer RNA (tRNA) molecules are approximately 80 nucleotides in length. Their secondary structure includes four short double-helical elements and three loops (D, anti-codon, and T loops). Lineage: Bacteria; Pseudomonadati; Campylobacterota; Epsilonproteobacteria; Campylobacterales; Sulfurovaceae. RNAcentral also lists the same sequence under 1 other name. The record is from Rfam by way of RNAcentral.
UGGGGUAUCGCCAAGCGGUAAGGCAACGGUUUUUGGUACCGUUAUUCGGGGGUUCGAAUCCCUCUACCCCAU